GAAUUCGCCCUUUCCGGUUGAUCCUGCCGGACCCGACUGCUAUCGGAUUGGGAUUUAGCCAUGUUAGUUGUGCGUUCCUUGGCUACAGGGGACGCAGCGUACGGCUCAGUAACACGUAGUCAACCUGCCCUGGAGACGUGGACAAACCCGGGAAACUGGGGCCUAUCCGCGAUAGAUGACCUCAUCUGGAAGGAGUGGUCGUCCAAAGGGCGGCACGGGUAUGCUCCGUGCCUUUCGCUCCAGGAUGGGACUGCGGCCGAUCAGGCUGUUGGCGGGGUAAUGGCCCACCAAACCUGUAACCGGUACGGGCUUUGAGAGAAGGAGCCCGGAGAUGGACACUGAGACAAGGGUCCAGGCCCUACGGGGCGCAUCAGGCGCGAAAACUUCGCAAUGCGCGAAAGCGUGACGAGGCUAGUCCGAGUGCUUCCUGCUAAAGGGAGCUUUUCUCGGCUGUAAAUAGGCCGGGGAAUAAGGGGAGGGCAAGUCUGGUGUCAGCCGCCGCGGUAAUACCAGCUCCUCGAGUGGUCGGGACGAUUAUUGGGCCUAAAGCACCCGUAGCCGGUUCCGUAAGUCCUCUGUUAAAUCCAAUUGCUCAACGGUUGGCCUGCAGAGGAUACUGCGAGACUAGGAGGCGGGAGAGGCGGACGGCACUCCGCGUGUAGGGGUAAAAUCCUUUGAUCCGCGGAAGACCACCAGUGGCGAAGGCGGUCCGCCAGAACGCGCUCGACGGUGAGGGGUGAAAGCUGGGGGAGCGAACCGGAUUAGAUAUGGAGCUGAAAAAACUCCACUAAAGACCCGGGUAGUCCCAGCCGUAAACGAUGCGAGCUAGAUGAUCCAGUCGCAAAUUGCGAUUGGAGUGUCGCAGGGAAGCCGUUAAGCUCGCCGCCUGGGGAGUACGGUCGCAAGACUGAAUCUAUGAGCCUUCUGGCUCAUGGCAGUUUACUUAAAGGAAUUGGCGGGGGAGCACCACAAGGGGUGAAGCCUGCGGUUCAAUUGGAGUCAACGCCAGGAAACUUACCAGGAGAGACAGCAGAUUGAGGGUCAGACUGAAGAUCUUACCUGACGAGCUGAGAGGAGGUGCAUGGCCGUCGCCAGCUCGUGCCGUGAGGCGUCCUGUUAAGUCAGGCAACGAGCGAGACCCAAAGGGCGA
Molecule: ribosomal RNA, 1150 nt
Filed under: uncultured Nitrososphaerota archaeon
Lineage: Archaea; Thermoproteati; Nitrososphaerota
Description: bacterial SSU rRNA
Rfam family: Archaeal small subunit ribosomal RNA
Source: RNAcentral